Molecule: ribosomal RNA, 1373 nt
Filed under: human oral metagenome
Description: bacterial LSU rRNA
Rfam family: Bacterial large subunit ribosomal RNA
Source: RNAcentral
AAAUCCAUUAAGUUAUAUCUGAGGUAUGAUAUACAGUCGUAAGAUGAAUGCGCAAAUCCCACGCUGCCAAGAAAAGCUUCUAACGUUAAUAUAUGACUGCCCGUACUGUAAACCGACACAGGUGGUCAGGAUGAGAAAUCUAAGGCGGACAGGCUAACUCUCGUUAAGGAACUCUGCAAAAUAACCUCGUAACUUCGGGAGAAGAGGAGCCCUUGGGUGUUAGUAUCCAUGCGAUACAAAGCGCUCGAGGGUCGCAGUGAAGAGGCUCAAGCAACUGUUUAACAAAAACACAGGUCUAUGCUAAGCUGGAAGGCGAUGUAUAUGGGCUGACACCUGCCCAGUGCUGGAAGGUUAAGAGGAGGAGUGAGAGCUCCGAAUUGAAGCCCCAGUGAACGGCGGCCGUAACUAUAACGGUCCUAAGGUAGCGAAAUUCCUUGUCGGGUAAGUUCCGACCUGCACGAAUGGUGUAAUGAUUUGAGCGCUGUCUUGACGGGAGGCCUGGUGAAAUUGUAUUACCGGUGAAGAUACCGGUUACCUACAGUAGGACGGAAAGACCCCAUGGAGCUUUACUGUAGCUUGGUAUUGGGUUUUGGCAUUGCAUGUAUAGGAUAGUUGGGAGACUGAGAUGAUAUGGCGCUAGCUGUAUCGGAGUCAUCGGUGGAAUACCAACCAUUCAAUGCUGAAAUUCUAAUCUGUGGUUUGUAGCCACGGAGACAGUGCUAGGUGGGCAGUUUGACUGGGGCGGUCGCCUCCGAAAGAGUAACGGAGGCGUUCAAAGGUUCUCUCAGGUUGGAUGGAAAUCAACCAUAGAGUGCAAUGGCAUAAGAGAGCUUGACUGCAAGACUGACGGGUCGAGCAGAUGCGAAAGCAGGACAUAGUGAUCCGGCGAUUCCGAAUGGAAGGGUCGUCGCUCAACGGAUAAAAGCUACCCUGGGGAUAACAGGCUGAUCCUACCCGAGAGUCCAUAUCGACGGUAGGGUUUGGCACCUCGAUGUCGGCUCAUCGCAUCCUGGGGCUGGAGAAGGUCCCAAGGGUUGGGCUGUUCGCCCAUUAAAGCGGUACGUGAGCUGGGUUCAGAACGUCGUGAGACAGUUCGGUCCCUAUCCACUGUAGGCGUUAGAAUAUUGAGAAGACCUGUCCUUAGUACGAGAGGACCGGGAUGGACAAACCUCUGAUGUACCAGUUGUCACGCCAGUGGCACAGCUGGGUAGUCACGUUUGGAAUAGAUAACCGCUGAAAGCAUCUAAGCGGGAAACUAACUUCAAGAUAAGUAUUCUUUAAGAUACCUUCGAGCCUAGGAGGUUGAUAGGUUGGGGGUGUAAGUACAGCAAUGUAUUUAGCUGACCAAUACUAAUUAUCGAAGUUUUAAUCUA